ACCAUCUGAUCAUCUGCCUAUA
RNAcentral lists this microRNA (22 nucleotides) under Saccoglossus kowalevskii. Its description in RNAcentral is "sko-miR-34-3p". Its record names the gene sko-miR-34-3p. The record is from miRBase by way of RNAcentral. Lineage: Eukaryota; Metazoa; Hemichordata; Enteropneusta; Harrimaniidae.